RNAcentral lists this ribosomal RNA (386 nucleotides) under Adenomera andreae (lowland tropical bullfrog). RNAcentral describes it as "partial 12S ribosomal RNA". Lineage: Eukaryota; Metazoa; Chordata; Amphibia; Anura; Leptodactylidae. The record is from RNAcentral.
CUUCGCAUCAAUUUUUACUUAAUUUACACAUGCAAGUAUCCGCACCCCUGUGAAAACGCCCUUUAACCCCCAUUUGGGGUAAGGAGCUGGUAUCAGGCACAUCUUUACUGCCCAAGACACCUAGCUAUGCCACACCCACAAGGGAUCUCAGCAGUGAUUAACAUUGAACAUCAGCGUCAGCUCGAUUCAGUUAAAGUAAAUAGAGCCGGCUAAUCUGGUGCCAGCCGCCGCGGUUACACCAUGUGGCUCAAAUUGAUCCUUGUCGGCGUAAAGAGUGAUUUAAGACCCCCCCCCUCCCCCUCCUGGCGUUAAAUUUAUACUAAGCUGUGACACGCUUGUUCCUAAGAAACCCAAAAACGAAAGUUACCCCAACUCAAUCAACUUGA